AUAUAUUAAACCGGCGGGCACUAUAGCCUUACAUUAUAGUACAUACAUUUCGUUCAUGGAAUAUACUGCAACAUAUUAAUAUGGCUCUGACAUAUAUAUUCGCGUGCGUUCUGACCUGACUGUACGUGCGAUCAUUCGCCUCUCAGAAUGCUGGCUGUAAAAUGUCUAGUGGAAUAUCUGAAUACAAUGACGCUAAACGUGAUCACUGCAUAAGCUUGCUCGAUACAUACAUGAACAUUAGUGAUACAGACAGACAGGCACACUGUGCACACUUUAGACGACGAGGGGAAAACCCGUUGGCACUGGUAGAUACGCCCUAACACUGCAAGGUAAUUGCGUCUCAUGUCGGAACGGUUGUGAUUUAAUAGGACACACUUCAUACGCAGUAUAUAAAUACCAAGUGCCUUCUAGUAUUUCUUCCGAUGCAUUCUGGUUUACUCAAGAUUUCUACAAAGGAAUUGUCCAUAUUUGUCGUGUUCCACCAUUUUUGUAGAGUUGCAAAUGUCGUUUCCUUGCUUGGUUGUUUUCUUCAAACGACUUCAAGCGAAUAGAGAGGAACAUAGUCUUUGUCCUUGGAUAUUUAACGAGAGAAAAAGAUGAUCCGAGAGAUAUUGAUAGCCUCCUUGACGGUGAUCGUCCACGGGAUGGUAGACGCUGGCGAUGUCUGCCUUUCAAUAGGGGGUUGUGAAUGCAGUAGUCCACCCAUAUUCAAAGUUACAAGACCAACAUUUGGUGAUUGCCCUGCAGCUAGUAUUCGUUGCAACAAGGUAAGCAUUUCAAUUUCAAUGCAAUUCAUUCAUUCAGGCUUUGUGAAUAUAAAAAACGCAUUCAAAGUGUACCGAUCACAAAAUAGUAGUUUAAGUACUUGUGAGUAGGCAACUAGACGCACUCGUGUGCGCUCGCUUAAAACAGGGCCCUCAUAUACGGAACCUAAGUCUUAAUUGGGGUGCAGGUUUAUGUUAUUUUUAUUUGCUUAAUAUUCCUUAUCUAGAUGUACAUACACUGUCGCUCAUAAAGGUGG
Strongylocentrotus purpuratus (purple sea urchin) is the source of this 1021-nucleotide long non-coding RNA. RefSeq lists it as uncharacterized. The transcript is spliced from 3 exons. The record is from RefSeq and is a predicted model, not a curated record. NCBI's taxonomy places the organism in Eukaryota, Metazoa, Echinodermata, Echinoidea, Camarodonta, Strongylocentrotidae.